UGAGGAAUAUUGGUCAAUGGCCGGAAGGCUGAACCAGCCAAGCCGCGUGAGGGAAGGAGGCGCUCAGCGUCGUAAACCUCUUUUGCCGGGGGAUAAGAGGCGCCACGCGUGGCGCCGUGAAGGUACCCGGAGAAAAAGCAUCGGCUAACUCCGUGCCAGCAGCCGCGGUAAUACGGAGGAUGCGAGCGUUAUCCGGAUUUAUUGGGUUUAAAGGGUGCGUAGGCGGUUCUGUAAGUCAGCGGUAAAAAGCGCGGGCUCAACCCGUGUGAGCCGUUGAGACUGCAGGGCUUGAGAGACGGAGAGGCAUGCGGAAUGCGCGGUGUAGCGGUGAAAUGCAUAGAUAUCGCGCAGAACUCCGAUUGCGAAGGCAGCAUGCCGGUCGUUUUCUGACGCUGAGGCACGAAAGCGUGGGGAUCGAACAGG
Molecule: ribosomal RNA, 423 nt
Filed under: uncultured bacterium
Lineage: Bacteria
Description: bacterial SSU rRNA
Rfam family: Bacterial small subunit ribosomal RNA
Source: RNAcentral